This 359-nucleotide unclassified non-coding RNA is filed under the name Hevea brasiliensis (rubber tree). Lineage: Eukaryota; Viridiplantae; Streptophyta; Magnoliopsida; Malpighiales; Euphorbiaceae. The record is from RNAcentral.
CGUCUUCUAAGAACAUUAGUGAACAAUUUUAUCAACAUGAAACUAUGUUGGCAACAACAACAACUAGUCAUCAAGAUUCAUGGCAUCAUGAUAAUAACAGGACAUUACUUGUUGAUGAUCCAUCUAUGAGAUGUGUUUUCCCUUGUGAAGGAAAUGAAAGGCCAAGUCAAGGACUUUCAUUAUCUCUUUGUUCAUCAAAUCCAUCAAGUAUUGGUUUACAAUCUUUUGAGCUUAGACAUCAAGAUUUGCAACAAGGACUAAUACAUGAUGGAUUUUUGGGUAAAUCUACAAGUAUACAACAAGGGUAUUUUCAUCAUUAUCAUCAAGUUAGGGACUCCAAAUAUCUAGGUCCAGCCCAG